RNAcentral lists this ribosomal RNA (377 nucleotides) under uncultured bacterium. Its description in RNAcentral is "bacterial SSU rRNA". It matches the Rfam family "Bacterial small subunit ribosomal RNA", at positions 523 to 898 of the family's 1533-position model. The record is from RNAcentral.
AUACGUAGGUGGCAAGCGUUGUCCGGAAUUAUUGGGCGUAAAGCGCGCGCAGGCGGUCUCUUAAGUCUGAUGUGAAAGCCCCCGGCUCAACCGGGGAGGGUCAUCGGAAACUGGGAGACUUGAGUGCAGAAGAGAAGAGUGGAAUUCCACGUGUAGCGGUGAAAUGCGUAGAGAUAUGGAGGAACACCAGUGGCGAAGGCGGCUUCCUGGCCUGUAACUGACGCUCAGGCGCGAAAGCGUGGGGAGCAAACAGGAUUAGAUACCCUGGUAGUCCACGCCGUAAACGAUGAGUGCUAAGUGUUGGAGGGUUUCCGCCCUUCAGUGCUGCAGCUAACGCAUUAAGCACUCCGCCUGGGGAGUACGGCCGCAAGGCUGAA